This 564-nucleotide long non-coding RNA is filed under the name Trifolium pratense (red clover). RNAcentral's name for it is "long non-coding RNA (TPRA_LNC005256)". The record is from RNAcentral. Lineage: Eukaryota; Viridiplantae; Streptophyta; Magnoliopsida; Fabales; Fabaceae.
CAACCAUAUAUAUUCAAAUAGUGUAUAGCUAAUGAGUGCCAUAAAUAUAUACUGCCAAAACAGAGGACCUCAAUUUUAAGCAUAUACCUUAUCAAUGUUGUUGUUAGAACAAUUAGACUCGAAUUCCGAGAGCCGAUUUAAGCCAAAUAAGAGGUAUGUUAUUCUUCAACUUUGAAAGCUAUAAGAUAAGCAGCCUAUAACUCCUUUCAAAAUUCUGAGUGUGACAAUUAGCUCCCAUUAACUUCAAAUUUGUACCUAACAUGCUUAAACAUUCAACAAGGCACUUUAAAUUUAGAAGGAAAUUGGAUUAAUUUAGUAUACAUGUUAAAUUUGAUUCAACAAGUGUGUUUCAAGAUUACAUGGGGCUAUUUGCUAGAUAGUCAAAGUAGAAGGGGUUACUUGCAUUUUAAUGAAAGGCUGUAACACAAAAUCACUCCAAAAUGUAUUUCAAUUAUGUACCUGAGAUAUCAUUAAUGCCAAAAUGAAAGUUCUUCAUUUGUCUCGACCGCAAAGCUCUUACACUAGCAUCAUCAGUUUAAGCCUGGAGCAUCAUACAAGGAAAAU